Molecule: transfer RNA, 67 nt
Filed under: Schistosoma mansoni
Lineage: Eukaryota; Metazoa; Platyhelminthes; Trematoda; Strigeidida; Schistosomatidae
Source: RNAcentral
CAGUAGCUGAGUGGAUAAAGUAAUGGCGUAUGAAGCGAAAAGUACUGGGUUCGAGUCCCAGAGUGAA